RNAcentral lists this ribosomal RNA (497 nucleotides) under uncultured bacterium. RNAcentral describes it as "partial 16S ribosomal RNA". It matches the Rfam family "Bacterial small subunit ribosomal RNA", at positions 28 to 507 of the family's 1533-position model. The record is from RNAcentral.
GACGAACGCUGGCGGCGUGCCUAAUACAUGCAAGUUGAGCGCUGAAGGUUGGUACUUGUACCCACUGGAUGAGCAGCGAACGGGUGAGUAACGCGUGGGGAAUCUGCCUUUGAGCGGGGGACAACAUUUGGAAACGAAUGCUAAUACCGCAUAAAAACUUUAAACACAAGUUUUAAGUUUGAAAGAUGCAAUUGCAUCACUCAAAGAUGAUCCCGCGUUGUAUUAGCUAGUUGGUGAGGUAAAGGCUCACCAAGGCGAUGAUACAUAACCGACCUGAGAGGGUGAGCGGCCACAUUGGGACUGAGACACGGCCCAAACUCCUACGGGAGGCAGCAGUAGGGAAUCUUCGGCAAUGGAAGAAAGUCUGACCGAGCAACGCCGCGUGAGUGAAGAAGGGUGUCGGAUCGUAAAACUCGGUUGGUAGAGAAGAACGUUGGUGAGAGUGGAAAGCGCAUAAAGUGACGGUAACUACACAGAAAGGGACGGCUAACUACGUG